AUUGAACGCUGGCGGCAGGCCUAACACAUGCGAGUCGAGCGGUAACAGAUCUAGCUUGCUAGAUGCUGACGAGCGGCGGACGGGUGAGUAACGCGUAGGAAUCUACCCAGUAGAGGGGGAUAGCCCGGGGAAACUCGGAUUAAUACCGCAUAAUCUCUAAGGAGUAAAGGGGGCUUCGGCUCUCGCUAUUGGAUGAGCCUGCGUGGGAUUAGCUAGUUGGUGAGGUAAAGGCUCACCAAGGCGACGAUCUCUAACUGGUCUGAGAGGAUGAUCAGUCACACUGGAACUGAGACACGGUCCAGACUCCUACGGGAGGCAGCAGUGGGGAAUAUUGCACAAUGGGCGCAAGCCUGAUGCAGCCAUGCCGCGUGUGUGAAGAAGGCCUCGGUUGUAAG
This 395-nucleotide ribosomal RNA is filed under the name uncultured bacterium. RNAcentral describes it as "bacterial SSU rRNA". It matches the Rfam family "Bacterial small subunit ribosomal RNA", at positions 30 to 429 of the family's 1533-position model. The record is from RNAcentral.